GAUCAAAGCCUUUAGGCCUGUGUGCCUCCCCUAAUGUCUGUGCUCAUCUAUGUCAGCUGAGUGUGUGCAUUAGCAUGCCAUUCAUGUGCUGCCUUCCUGGGAGUCACAGAGGAGGAAAUGCAUCAAUCUUCUGUGGCCUGGGUCUUGUGCUCUGCAGAUCAGAGCAACCUUUGUGGAGAGCCAGAUGCUGCCUGUGAGCUGAGCUUGCCAGGGGAGAAUAAAUCUCACACCUACACCACUCCAGAGAGCGCGACCAAGCCUGCAAGAAGGCAGCACCAGCACAAAACCUGAGAGAUGCAGACGCAGUCCUGAGGGUGCAAUGUCAGGGCUGCUGGUGUUUGCCUGAAGGCUGACUCAGACUGAGCUGAUGCCCAGGUGAAAGAGCUCAUGUAUCCACUUCAG
RNAcentral lists this long non-coding RNA (402 nucleotides) under Cyanistes caeruleus (blue tit). Its description in RNAcentral is "lncRNA (ENSCCEG00000020882.1)". Lineage: Eukaryota; Metazoa; Chordata; Aves; Passeriformes; Paridae. The record is from RNAcentral.